This 447-nucleotide ribosomal RNA is filed under the name Salmonella enterica. RNAcentral's name for it is "partial 23S ribosomal RNA". It matches the Rfam family "Bacterial large subunit ribosomal RNA", at positions 161 to 647 of the family's 2925-position model. Lineage: Bacteria; Pseudomonadati; Pseudomonadota; Gammaproteobacteria; Enterobacterales; Enterobacteriaceae. The record is from RNAcentral. RNAcentral also lists the same sequence under 1 other name.
AAUCCAUAGGUUAAUGAGGCGAACCGGGGGAACUGAAACAUCUAAGUACCCCGAGGAAAAGAAAUCAACCGAGAUUCCCCCAGUAGCGGCGAGCGAACGGGGAGGAGCCCAGAGCCUGAAUCAGCAUGUGUGUUAGUGGAAGCGUCUGGAAAGGCGCGCGAUACAGGGUGACAGCCCCGUACACAAAAGCGCAUGUGCUGUGAGCUCGAUGAGUAGGGCGGGACACGUGGUAUCCUGUCUGAAUAUGGGGGGACCAUCCUCCAAGGCUAAAUACUCCUGACUGACCGAUAGUGAACCAGUACCGUGAGGGAAAGGCGAAAAGAACCCCGGCGAGGGGAGUGAAAAAGAACCUGAAACCGUGUACGUACAAGCAGUGGGAGCACCCUUUGGGUGUGACUGCGUACCUUUUGUAUAAUGGGUCAGCGACUUAUAUUCUGUAGCAAGGUU